This 4690-nucleotide long non-coding RNA is filed under the name Homo sapiens (human). Its description in RNAcentral is "HSALNT0377533". The record is from RNAcentral. Lineage: Eukaryota; Metazoa; Chordata; Mammalia; Primates; Hominidae.
AACAGUGGAACUCCACAUACAGUUGAGAAACUGCAAGGAACACAAAAGACUCAAACAACAGAGUUCGAGGGUCUACUUGCUAACUCUGGGACCUAUGGCAAAACCCAAAUGAACCACCAACUGUAAUGGUCUAUUUUCUUGAGCUCAGAGCAACUAUGUGAACUCAGAAAGAAAUUAUAGGCUUUAAAUGAUCCUUAAUACCCUGCAUUUCAGUGUUACCUACAUACGCCACCUCAGAGGAUAGCAUUUCUGUAGUAGCCGUGGUAUGACACACUGCCAAGAUUAAUAGGCCUAUCCAGGGGAAGCUCCCAGGACAAUGACAAGAUACAAGUAUUUAAGCAAGAUUUCUUUAAAAUAUCCUUAAACUGCUUACACAUAUGGUAUAGGAAAAAGAUGGAACUUGCAACUGGCAAUCCUGAGUUCUAGCCCCUGUCCUGUUACAGAUGGGAUAGUGAUCUUGAGCCUGUUAACAACACUGACAGGAGCAACAGCAGUAAUAACUAACUGUCAAAUAACAGUACCAUACCUUAUACAACUGCUGUGUGGAUUUAAUUUUACAUUGCAAUACAAUGUCAAUUAUUACUGAUUUUUUUCCUCAAGAAAAAGGUAAUUCUUAUUUUUUAUUUUUUUGAGACAGGGUCUCACUCUGUCAUCCAGGCUGGAGCGGUGCCAUCACAGCUCACUGCAGCCUGGACCUCCCAGACUCAAGUGAUCCUCCCACCACAGCCUCCCAAGUAGCCAGGACUACAGGUGAGUGCUCUGCUAAGCUCUGCAACAAGUUCCAAGCUAGUAGUGGCCAGCUACUCAGCUUUCUCAGGAAACUCACCUUCUCUCCUUGGAGUGAUGGGACUGAGUCCCGCAAACUGUGAAAGCUGUCUUUGAUGUGGUCCCUACGUUUUCGUUCCAGUGCAUUAUGAUGAGCCCGUUUGUCAGCCUAGAAGAAUGGGAGAAAGAACACAUUAGGAAUGUCACUCCUUUUGCUUGGUACAAGGUGGGUGGGGUACAGCCUGGAAGUACACGCUGUCAGCACUGUCCCUGGCGAGUGGACUGGGAAGGAUUUCUCGAGGUGGGCAGUUAGGAGUCUCCAGAAUUAGGCUCUGCUAAAGGGGGAGAAAGGGGUGAGCAACGCUUGCGACAGGAACAUCCAAAGUAGCUCGAUGCAUCCAGCUCAUGCAUAAGUAAAAUAAAAGUUAUUCAGGGGGACAAAGUGUGACUCUCCUGUAACAUCAGUGGUCCCCCCCAACUUGCUUAUGUGACAGAAGAGCCACCAGUCUGUGGUUAGGAAGUGACUAGAGAAAGCUCCAGUGGCCCCUUCUUAAGAUGUGAUCACCUCCACUGUAAGAGAUUCCCCAGAUGGGUGUCCAGGGGAAGAAAGAGUUAAGUCACUGGUGCUUCUUUAAUGUGAAACCAUCACCAUGAGUCCCAAGCCCACUAAAAGGCACUAGUUUAAGACCUUCUCACCAAAUCAUACAACAGAAGCUAAAACCUCUAUAAAACCUAGAUGCAUGAAUCUGAGAUCAUUAUGACAGAGCUGAUAAGAUGACAACUGAAUUCUGAGUUCCUAUUUUUUAAAAGUAGAUCCAAGGUGCUAUCCUGCCAAGGGCUUCCUUGCACACAGGCAGUGCCUGACAGGCAGUUCUUAGAGGGCACAACUUCUGACACCACAUACUCAGAAUAAAUUCUCUCAGGUACCUGUGGCAGGUCAGGCUAACUGGCAGUAUCUAAAUAUCCAAGUCAAAGCCUUAGCCUGCUUGGAAUCACAAAGAACGGUCAGCUGGAGAUGGACCAAAACUGCCAACACCAAAUCAGGAAUGGCAAAAUGCUCUGGCUUCAGGCAGAAGAGAUAGCGCUGGAGAGCAUGAUAAGAGCACUUCAGCAGGUCCCCAUCAGAGGGGUCUCCCCUCCAAAUGGAACACAAACAACCCAAAGCAAGAAGAACUUCAUCACACCUACACUCUAGGAAUUACGGAAAUUAUGCUCUGAACAUUCACCUUGAAUGCACAACGUUGCACUGAGCUAAUCUAGAGAGCCAGUCUGUACAUGGGAAGUUCAGGUAGCUUAAAUCUAUACAAACAGAGGGCCAGAAAUUCAAAAAAUGGAACAAGAGUAAAUAACUUGGCUUAGCACAAGAAUAAUGCUGCCUCACAUUAAUCCUUGUACUAGAGAAGAUGUACAGACAAAAAUCUAUCAAGAGUUGUGAAAACGAAAGGACUUGAAAUUCUCCUGUUAUUUAAUCCUAAAAGUCCCAGUCAUUACAGAGGAAGAGGAGACUGGGAGCACCUGUAGUCAUCUGAGUUACUUCCUGGUCUCUUAAACAUAAUACCUCACCUACAGCUCUGUUGAACUGGACAUGUGGUUCCCAUGACAACCAUGGUUCUCCAUAGCAUAUCUCUCUUUUUGGGGCAGAUGCCUGGAGCACUUCUAAAGUUGUCCUAAUCUUGUUAAGUCUGGAUUCACUGUAAAAUGAAUGUUUACUGAACUAUAGUGACAUGAAAUAUGAAGCUGAGAGGACAGUCAAGUUUGGAACACCACAUAACCUGAGGGUAGAGGUAGGUACUCUGUAUCAUACAACUUUAGCGCAAAAUUAUAGAUGCCUUCUAACAGUAGCAUGAAAUAGUGCGACAGAAUUGAACCUAUUUAAGUAUCUAGUCCUUUUGAACUUACUGUUGUUCCCUCUGAUCAUCUACAUAAAGAUAAGUUGGGCUGCGACUAUACCUAAGGAGCUUAAAGGCCAAGAGACAAUAUUUGGCAUGUGUCUGCGGCUCCUGUUUGCUAUAUACUACCUAAGGUGGUUUAUUUACAUGCAAAUUAAUUGCCCAUCUUUGGUCUCCAGAGCAGCCCAAGAUACUCCUGUCUACUAAAUCACCCUGAUUCUUGGCCCUCCUCCCAGCUAAGAGCUGUGCACCAGAAUUACCCACAAUCCCUCUUGUUGAUACAAAUAAAAUUCUAAUUGUCUGUUUUCUUUCUGGGAGAGCCCUGCAAAUCUCAAACAGCUAGAAUGAAGUUGCACUUGGUUUCACGUGGACCUGCACUAAAGGGGUGGAGCUAAGUAUAAUCUAACACCAAAAUCAUCCCCACAAUGCACUACCCCCUCCCAUUCACUGAGCUCUGAAAGGACUCAAAUGGACAAGUCUCUCGGUUGGAGGAUUGUAAGUGAACUUGGCUGUAGAUCAUGAGCAGAAAUCUUGGCUUCUCAUCUGGGGAGCCAGCCAAGUUUGAGAAGUUGGCUCAACAAGGAAAGGCAGCAGUCCACUGCCUGGUAGAAAGCCUGGGCUGGGGACUGUUGUUCUCAAAGUAGUGGAUGGAAUUUCUGUAGUGGUUCCAGGCCCAAUUUAACUAGCAGAAGAGUGGAAUCUUACACCAAUCCCUGCUGCCAUGUCCAUCCCUGAGCUACUAGUGGAGUCAAUUUUAAAUCUCUCAGAGACAAUGGCAAGGAUGUAUUUUUCUCUUCCCCAAGCUUGAUUUGAAAGAACAAGUUAAAAACAUGCAGAACUAACAAGCCUAAUUCCAGGCAACUGUGAAUUAAAUGUUAUCACUAAUGUUUUGAAAGAGCACAUGAAAAACAGAAAAACCUUUACACAAGGCUGAGAAUUCUCUGUGGGAAACAUUUCCAAACCACAGAUCCACCCAGACCAAUAACACUGCCCGCGCCUCAUCCCCACCCCCAUUGGAGGACUAGUUUGCAGGCUUUAUCACUGCCUUGUUAACUGUCUUUGCUUGCUGGCAACCCUUUUUGAGAGGGCCAAGAUUUCAGAGUUGAAGAAGAAAAACUGGGUGAAGACUCCCAGUGUAAGGCAUCUAAUAUCCUCCCCCAAAUGCAAAACUGGUUUUAAAAAACAAGCCCAAACAAUUGUCUUGAACAAAUAAAACUCUACUCAGAUGAGCCUGUACUGAGAAUGAUGUUCAGUAAUGAAAACAAAUGGUACGGAAAACCCCCUUGUGGAAUUAAUUAGGCCCUAUUCUAGGAGACCACAGAGGUAUUCUUGGACUGUACAGCAGGCUCCCAAACAUCUCCCCUACACAUCCUAUGGUUACAGUGGCUGGAUGCUGCCCACUCUUCUAGUACGCUGGAUUUGUACGUCUGGAUGUCUGCCAGAAAACCCUUCCUCCAGGGCAUCCCUAACAGAAAUACUAAGGGGCUAUGCAGUGGUCCACAGAUGCUCAACAGAAACUCCCGCACCAAAUCACUUCCAGCUUUGACAUCUCUGCCAAAGUUUUUAUUCAGCCUCUCAGUUAUAUUUCUACCCAACUUUCCACACUGGUAGACAGAAUAAAAAUCUUCACCUACAAUUUGUCCAUCUUUGACACUACCAAGCACGUGUAUCUUAAGUGUUGUUAGAUGUUGAAGACAAACAUUAUUUUGUUAGCCAAGAAGUUGCUAUGUUGGCAAGAAGUCAUCUAGGCUAAGGAGGUCUGUUCAAAAUUGAGGGAAAUCUCUUAAAAUUAUUUCCUUCCAACUUACUGCAGAGAGACUGCAUCUUUGUUCAAGGCAUCACAUCAGUCAGUAAUCUUAUUUCCUCCAAGUUCUAGGCAAAUAGCACGGGGAAAUAAAUGCUUCAUUAUUCCAGGAUGCACAAGGUUCUCCAGAACAAUGCCAUGUCUUACAGGCUACCUGACAGCUAACCCCACCUAUAAGGGGAACCAUCUCAAUUCUAAUACAGAAAAUUCUCAGCAUAUAGGGAAUUAGUUG